Molecule: long non-coding RNA, 252 nt
Filed under: Lathyrus oleraceus (garden pea)
Lineage: Eukaryota; Viridiplantae; Streptophyta; Magnoliopsida; Fabales; Fabaceae
Description: Pisum sativum (pea) long non-coding RNA (PSAT_LNC010549)
Source: RNAcentral
UUCUGUUUAUUUAUUUAUUUACUCUUUUUAUUUUUUUUAUAUUGUUUUAUUAUAUAUUUCAAUAUCAUAUUAUUAUUCACAUAUCAUAUGGAUGAGAUUGUUACAUGUGUGAAUCUAAAACCCAAGCUUGAGGAAAAAGUAAUAAGUUUAAGUAAGGGAUUGUCCUGUCUUGGCCACUUGGCUUCUCAUCCCGUGGGAUCUUUGAUGACGAUUCCGCCUAGAGUAAAUCAAUUCAAAGAGUUUGUCAUAACA